GUCGGGGGGUGCUCGCAAGCGCCGUCUGGCCGCGGCGCAGCGCCCGGCCCCGGCAGCGAGCCCUGCCCGCUCCUCCUGCGCCGCGCGGGCAGGAGCGGGCUCGCUCCCUUCCCGGUCUAGUAUCUGUGUCUGGGUGAAAUCCCUCAGGGUGCCGACACCGUUUUUUUCUAAAUAUCAACGUUUCUGGCCUCUGCAGCAGCAGGGACAUUUCUGUAUCUCUGGGUACCACAGCUGAGAAAUUGGGAAGAGAGUUGAACUUUACAAGGAACAUCCAAGUUUGGAAGUCCCCAGCAGACAAAUCUUUGUACAAAACCACCCACAGUGCAGAAUGGAACCAACCGUUUUUCACAUAUGGGAUGAUCGUUGCUCUGUUGCUAAUGGGUUUUUCAACACACAGCCAAAGCAUCCCCAUUUCUGACAGCCAUGAGCCAAGGUCCAUUUGGCCUGUAAUGGCAGUUGAGUGUAUCAGUGCCUCCACCUCAUCUUUAAAAAUGUGUGUUAUCAGCCUACAACAAAUUUCCAUAAAGAAAAAAAAAAGAGAAAAUUAAUGUUUUAAUGAAAAUAUUCA
Passer montanus (Eurasian tree sparrow) is the source of this 568-nucleotide long non-coding RNA. RefSeq lists it as uncharacterized. The record is from RefSeq and is a predicted model, not a curated record. The transcript is spliced from 2 exons. NCBI's taxonomy places the organism in Eukaryota, Metazoa, Chordata, Aves, Passeriformes, Passeridae.